This 656-nucleotide ribosomal RNA is filed under the name uncultured bacterium. Its description in RNAcentral is "bacterial SSU rRNA". It matches the Rfam family "Bacterial small subunit ribosomal RNA", at positions 135 to 809 of the family's 1533-position model. The record is from RNAcentral.
ACAGGGGGAUAACAGUUGGAAACGGCUGCUAAUACCGCAUAAGCGCACAGCAUCGCAUGAUGCAGUGUGAAAAACUCCGGUGGUAUAAGAUGGACCCGCGUUGGAUUAGCUAGUUGGUGAGGUAACGGCCCACCAAGGCGACGAUCCAUAGCCGACCUGAGAGGGUGACCGGCCACAUUGGGACUGAGACACGGCCCAAACUCCUACGGGAGGCAGCAGUGGGGAAUAUUGCACAAUGGGCGAAAGCCUGAUGCAGCGACGCCGCGUGAGCGAAGAAGUAUUUCGGUAUGUAGAGCUCUAUCAGCAGGGAAGAUAAUGACGGUACCUGACUAAGAAGCACCGGCUAAAUACGUGCCAGCAGCCGCGGUAAUACGUAUGGUGCAAGCGUUAUCCGGAUUUACUGGGUGUAAAGGGAGCGCAGGCGGUGCGGCAAGUCUGAUGUGAAAGCCCGGGGCUCAACCCCGGUACUGCAUUGGAAACUGUCGUACUAGAGUGUCGGAGGGGUAAGCGGAAUUCCUAGUGUAGCGGUGAAAUGCGUAGAUAUUAGGAGGAACACCAGUGGCGAAGGCGGCUUACUGGACGAUAACUGACGCUGAGGCUCGAAAGCGUGGGGAGCAAACAGGAUUAGAUACCCUGGUAGUCCACGCCGUAAACGA